UUUGUUUUAUUUUUAUUGCUAUAUUGUUUUAUCGGUUUUUCUAUGGUGUGCCCAUGGGCACAUGCUAAGCACGGAAAAUUUUGUGUUUGAAAGAUUUUGAUUGGCUUCUCUCUCUUGAUAAUGGUGGACCCCUGCAAAUACACCAACCACACCAAUCAAAAUCUCCCAAAUACAAAAAUUUCCGCGCUUAGCAUGUGCCCAUGGGCACACACUAGACAAACCGUUGUUUUAUUGCGUUACUUCUUAUUAUUGUUAUAUUUUUGGUUUAUAGUUACGUAAUAAGUAAUUGUAUGCUAAGCACGGAAAAUUUUGUGUUUGAAAGAUUUUGAUUGGCUUCUCUCUCUUGAUAAUGGUGGACCCCUGCAAAUACACCAACCACACCAAUCAAAAUCUCCCAAAUACAAAAAUUUCCGCGCUUAGCAUGUGCCCAUGGGCACACACUAGACAAACCGUUGUUUUAUUGCGUUACUUCUUAUUAUUGUUAUAUUUUUGGUUUAUAGUUACGUAAUAAGUAAUUGUAAAUUGUAAACACCGCUGCAUAUAUUUUUGUUUUUGUAAAGUUUAUCACGUUUAUAUAAAAUGAUUUUUGGGAUAUAAAUUGAUUUUUUUUUUAUGUAAUUUGGUUAAGUUCAGAAUUGUUUCGUCUUCUUUCUUCUUGCUUGCACGGUUGCACCGUCAUUUUGUUGUGCCGAGGACUGAAAAGGCAGCAAAAUGGUGUUUUGGAAGUUCUUUUCACAUCACAAGUUAGGUUCAUGGCCA
RNAcentral lists this long non-coding RNA (759 nucleotides) under Daucus carota (carrot). RNAcentral describes it as "long non-coding RNA (DCAR_LNC003336)". Lineage: Eukaryota; Viridiplantae; Streptophyta; Magnoliopsida; Apiales; Apiaceae. The record is from RNAcentral.